RNAcentral lists this transfer RNA (60 nucleotides) under Pentapycnon charcoti. Its description in RNAcentral is "tRNA-Gly". Lineage: Eukaryota; Metazoa; Arthropoda; Pycnogonida; Pantopoda; Pycnogonidae. The record is from RNAcentral.
AUUUUUUUAGUACAAAAAGUAUAAUUGAUUUCCAAUCAAUAGAUUUAUUAAUUAAAAAAA